CCUACGUGUGGCAGCAGUGGGGAAUAUUGCGCAAUGGGCGAAAGCCUGACGCCGCGACGCCGCGUGAGGGAUGAAGGUCUUCGGAUCGUAAACCUCUGUCAGCAGGGAAGAACGGUCACUGUGCUAAUCAGCAGUGAAUUGACGGUACCUGCAAAGGAAGCACCGGCUAACUCCGUGCCAGCAGCCGCGGUAAUACGGAGGGUGCGAGCGUUAAUCGGAAUUACUGGGCGUAAAGCGCUCGUAGGCGGUAUGUCAAGUCAAGGGUGAAAUCCCCGCGCUCAACGGGGGAACUGCCUUUGAAACUGGGAAACUGGAGUGUGGGAGAGGAGAGUGGAAUUCCAGGGGUAGGAGUGAAAUGCGUAGAUAGAUGGAGGAACAUCAGUGGCGAAGGCGGAUAUCUGGCACAUAACUGACGCUGAGGAGCGAAAGCGUGGGUAGCAAACAGGAUUAGAUACCCUAGUAGUC
Molecule: ribosomal RNA, 465 nt
Filed under: uncultured bacterium
Lineage: Bacteria
Description: partial 16S ribosomal RNA
Rfam family: Bacterial small subunit ribosomal RNA
Source: RNAcentral